Molecule: long non-coding RNA, 1401 nt
Filed under: Papio anubis (olive baboon)
Lineage: Eukaryota; Metazoa; Chordata; Mammalia; Primates; Cercopithecidae
Description: lncRNA (ENSPANG00000039449.1)
Source: RNAcentral
AUGAUUUUAUUCAGCAGCAGCUCUCAUCAGCAGCUUUCUCACACUAGCUCUCUACACUGCCUUUAUCUUGCUGUUUGCUCGGGCUCUGUGGCUCCUGCCACCCCCACACCUGCAGCUGCAUGGCCAGCUCUCCCUCGCCUUUAUCUCGGAUGUUUGCUCGGGCUCUGUGGCACCUGCUGCCCCCACGCCUGCAGCUGCAUGACCAGCUCUCCCUCGCCUUCAGGGUCAGCAGCUUCACUCUUUCUCUCUCUUGGCACCAGCGCAAGCCAUGCUGUGGCUCACCUCUGUCCCUAAGACAGACAGCUCUGGUUCUCUCUCUCCCUUUCUCUGGAUGCCAGCACACCCAUCAUGUUAAGCCAUGUUGAGCUGAGCCGAGCCCGAAGAGCCCCUGUACAGCAUUAGCAGGGCAAUUAUACCUUUUACAGACAACAGUGGCUCAGAGCCAAGUAUGAACUUACACAAACAGGUUAUAUAACAAGUGGAGGUGUGCGCCUGUGCGCCAAACUCGCUGAGUCAUGUAGGCCUGGAUAUCCGCCUCGGCCUAUUCCUUGACCAAAGCACAUCCAUGUACCUUACACUGUGUAUCUGAGAAAAUUGACCAAAAUUAUGAACAUCAUGUCAUAUUCUAAGCAAUGAUUAUUAUAUUCUUAAAAUGAGUUGGAAAAUCCCUGUGGUAUCCAGAGAAGAAGUUAAAAUCACUUACGAGGAAACAACUAUCAGAUUGAUGUAAGAAUUCUCAAUAGCGACAUUUGUUAGAAAAAGAACGUAGCCUUUUAAAAAAUAAUUUAAUGGGAAGAAAAUAUGAGAUAAGAAUUUUAUGUCCAGCCAAAGUCUUCUUCAAAAUAAAAGCCACAGACAAACAGCUAUAAAUAUGCAAGACGUCAAGGGAUGUCAUUCUCAUAAUUACUUCCUGACAAAUCUACCAAAAAACCAAAAUCUACCAAACACACGUCUGUUAAAGGUUUAGGAAAUAUUUAACUUAGUGGAACUAAGGUUAUAAGAUGGAAAACUGGUGAAAAAAUAAUCUGUACUUUUUAUAUGUUCAAAUAUUAACACUAACAAAAAUACAAGGUAGGAAUAAUGGAUAGUGAAAUAAACUUUUCUCAUGUGCAUUAACGGGAGAUAAAUAUUACUUGAAGCUAACAAAUGAAGUAGUACAUGCUUAAGCAUAUUUAAGACUUAAAAUACAUCUAACAGUUAACAAUAUAUAGUAAAUUAAUAAAUGAGGUAGAAGCAUGAGUAAUUUGUGAUGUAAUGAUGAACACUAAAAUAAUGCUAGUGAUUAAACUUGGAAGGUAGGGGCAAAAGUGAGGGACUAACUUUAGUCUUAUUUGUAAUAAGAAAGUCAACACAGGGUACGUUAAAAAGAGGUGAUUAAGUAACGUUUUUAACGGUAUAAAU